UGGCGGGAGAGGGUGCGCCAUGCGUCCGGCCCCNGCGGCCGUGCAGCGGGUGCCCCGAGCCGUUCAACCAUUGCAAACCCACUGCGCACUUUUGUCGGCGGAGGGCCCAGUGCCCCGAGCCGGAUCACAAACCCCNAAGUUCAAAGAAUGACAAGCGGACAUCAUGCCGCCCAAACUAUAACGACUUUCAACAACGGAUCUCUUGGCUCUCGCAUCGAUGAAGAACGCAGCGAAAUGCGAUAAGUAAUGUGAAUUGNAGAAUUCAGUGAAUCAUCCAAUCUNUGAACGCACCUUGCGCUCCUUGGUAUUCCUAGGAGCAUGCCUGUUUGAGUGUCUUGAANUCAUNAACCCCUCCCGUUUAUGUGNGGAGAGAAGGUUGGAUCUGGGAGCCUGCUGCCGUCAGGCGGCUCUCCUCAAAUGUGUCGGUUGGGCCUGUGGGAUCGAACUCUGUUGGGCGUUGUACCAUCCUCGCUCUAAGUUCCGAGAUGUUCCCCCUUUA
RNAcentral lists this ribosomal RNA (499 nucleotides) under uncultured Trechisporales. Its description in RNAcentral is "eukaryotic LSU rRNA". The stretch from base 183 to 336 matches the Rfam family "5.8S ribosomal RNA". The record is from RNAcentral. Lineage: Eukaryota; Fungi; Basidiomycota; Agaricomycetes; Trechisporales.